GGCUGAAUAGCUCAGUGGUAAGAGCAGUCGCCCGGCAAGCUAAAGACUUGGGUUUGAUUCCCGAUUCAGCGA
Molecule: transfer RNA, 72 nt
Filed under: Camponotus floridanus (Florida carpenter ant)
Lineage: Eukaryota; Metazoa; Arthropoda; Insecta; Hymenoptera; Formicidae
Rfam family: tRNA
About the family: Transfer RNA (tRNA) molecules are approximately 80 nucleotides in length. Their secondary structure includes four short double-helical elements and three loops (D, anti-codon, and T loops).
Source: Rfam by way of RNAcentral